AUUGAACGCUGGCGGCAUGCCUUACACAUGCAAGUCGAACGGCAGCACGGGAGCAAUCCUGGUGGCGAGUGGCGAACGGGUGAGUAAUGUAUCGGAACGUGCCCAGUCGUGGGGGAUAACGCAGCGAAAGCUGUGCUAAUACCGCAUACGAUCUAUGGAUGAAAGCGGGGGAUCGCAAGACCUCGCGCGAUUGGAGCGGCCGAUAUCAGAUUAGCUAGUUGGUGGGGUAAAAGCUUACCAAGGCGACGAUCUGUAGCUGGUCUGAGAGGACGACCAGCCACACUGGAACUGAGACACGGUCCAGACUCCUACGGGAGGCAGCAGUGGGGAAUUUUGGACAAUGGGCGCAAGCCUGAUCCAGCAAUGCCGCGUGCAGGAUGAAGGCCUUCGGGUUGUAAACUGCUUUUGUACGGAGCGAAAAGGCUUUCUCUAAUACAGGGGGCUCAUGACGGUACCGUAAGAAUAAGCACCGGCUAACUACGUGCCAGCCGCCGCAGUAA
Molecule: ribosomal RNA, 500 nt
Filed under: uncultured bacterium
Lineage: Bacteria
Description: partial 16S ribosomal RNA
Rfam family: Bacterial small subunit ribosomal RNA
Source: RNAcentral